Molecule: long non-coding RNA, 3476 nt
Filed under: Sus scrofa (pig)
Lineage: Eukaryota; Metazoa; Chordata; Mammalia; Artiodactyla; Suidae
Description: lncRNA (ENSSSCG00005019835.1)
Source: RNAcentral
CCCUGCAGCAUACGGAGUUCCUGGGCCAGGGAUCAGAUCCGAGCCACAGUUCCUACACUGCAGCUGCAGCUAUGCCAGAUCCUUUAACCCACUGUCCCCUUCCCCACCUUUUCAAGAGCUUUGCUAGGGAAGAACAGACCCACAGCAGGGACGGGGCCUGCAGGAAUGACAGGUGGCACCAGACUCCAUGCCCUAACCUCCCCUCCAAGGACCCGCGGCAGCAUCUGCCUGCCCCGGUAUUCUCAGACUGCCGAAUAUGGGUUCUCCUGAUUCAUGGCAAUCUUUUGGGUCUUAGCUGUGCAGGCCUUCAAAAUAAUACUGAUGCCUGAAUCCCCCCACCCUCAGAUCCUCAUUAUGGGGUCUGGAGCGCCACACAAGUUUGGGGAUUUUAAAAACUCCUCCAGCUAUUCGCACAGCCAGAGCUGAGGUUCACCGGUAUAGAGGCAGCGGGUAAGCCUCACCCCAAAUGCCCUCUUCACACCCUGCUUACCCCUCCAACGCCUGACGAAAACCGCCCAGCAGUAACUCCAAAAUAACAUGUGAAAGGAUUACCAGAUGGGAAACAGAACUUAACAGGGCCCAGAUGGCUAAGGCCCUGUCUCAAGAUACUAUGGUAUCUCGGUCAUGAAUCCAAAUGGCCUCGGGAGGAGAGUGUUUCCAAUCCCCUCCACGUCCAGAUGAGCAGGUAAACAUCUCUCCACUCCGAAGCCCCAGUGGCCGGGGUGAGAAAACCUGGACCCUCCAGAGCGAGAUGCUCCCAGCUGCCGUGAGACCGUCGUGGGCAUUUCAAAGACUAUUUCAGAAUCAGGUAUCAGAUCACACGAGGCUACCAAAAAGUAAAAGUUUUUUUAAAAAAAAAGGUUGACGACUUGAAGCUUGUUAAUGAGCAUCGCUGGGAAAGGACAAGAGCUGAGGAAGCCAAUUCGCCCAAUUAGAGGGGGUUUCAGUUCUCUCUGAACUUUGUGACUAGAAGGUGAAGCCUUAGAGAUGGACCUACAGGGUACAGGUGGGCCUCUGGAGCCCCAGGGCAAACCCCAGUGCCUUGUGCUGACCCGCCAUGGCCCUGAACUCUGCUGCAUCUCAACUGGCUCAUCUGUAAAGUGGGAUAACAACAGCGUCUGCCUUGUCGGGCUGGUGGGGGAUUAAACGAGCAUAGGUAAGACCCUUCCAACAGUGUCAGGCACUAGUAAGUGCUCGAUAAAUGCAAAAUACUGGCUUGAUUUUUCACAAUUUUCCCUCUGGCUUAAUCUUUUUAAAAUUGUUUUUUUUUUCCUUUUUAAAGGCUGCACUUGCAGCAUAAGGAAGUUCCCUGGCUAGGGGUGGAAUUGGAGCUGCAGCUGCCGGCCUACAUCACAGCCAUAGCAAUGCAGGAACUGAGCUGUGCCUGCAACCUAUACCACAGGUCAUGGCAAUGCGGGAUCGGUCACCCACUGAGCGAGUCCAGGGAUCCAACCCGCAUCUUCAUGGACACUAGUCGGAUUCAUUUCCACUGUGUCACAAUGGAAACUCCCGAGGUUGCCACCUUCUUAAAAUGAAGAAAUAGACUUAGAGGAGGUCGGUCAAUUGUCAACUGUUCCAGGGCCCAGACGGUCAGUGGCUGGGCAGCAGCACGCCCCAGAUCAUGGGGUUUCAAUUUGGAGGCUGCCGUUACGGGGGAGCUGGCCACCUUGGUGUCCCUGAAAGCAGGGCUCAGGCUCCCCUGGGCCUGGGCUGCAGGAACCAUCCCCCACCCUCCCCUGCACCUACCGCAGGCUGAGCCAGAGGCAGCAGGUGUUCCUGGCCCCUGCCAGCCGGAACUGGGUCCGGGUAGGGCCAACGCCCAAGGAACUGGGUCGCAAGGCCAGUCCCACCACUGCAAAGUCCAGCGAUUAGGGAAACAAUGAACCAGGAGCAAAGCAAACACAAGCCAUCUUUGAAAGCCCGGGGUCCCUCCUCUGUACUCUGCCUACUCCUCCCAACCCCCAAACCAACUACAAUUCUGAGAAGAGCACUUUUAAGGAAGGAAGGGGGAAAAUUAACCACCCAGCUGAACAUUUUCCCAGUAAAGCCAGAACUGGCAUAUCAGAGGCUUCCUUGAAAGACUCUGAGACAUUUGCUGGGGGCAAGUGGAGCUCGGGCCCUGUGCUAGGCAUUGGAGAUCCAGCAAUGAUGAAACAGAUAAAAAUCUUUGCCUCCGGGAGUUCACGUUUUCAUAGGAGGAAGAAUAAUGAAGAGAAUUAUAGAGGGCUAGGAAAUACCGGUGCUUCAGCGAAGUAAUGCCAAUGAUGAAAAGAGCGGCCAAGGCUGACUGAGCACUUACUCUGGGUCUAAGUGCUUUACACACAGGGGCUCAGUUAAUCCUCUCGACAAUGGGUAUUGUUCUCCUGCCCAUUUCACAGACAGGAGAGCAGACAGGAGGCAAGGCGCAGGAGGACCAACAGGCAUGGAGAAAACAAGGAGCGCUGAUAAGAAAGGGCAAGAGGUUCCUUCUUCCCCUUCCUGAUUUUGUUCCGUUUUCAGGAGAGCAAAAUGGGCAGGAAGCCUGGUGUGCUCCCUGGCCUCAAACUGGGAGAGGGGGCUUCAACCAGCGUAGGCCUCUCUACUCCCCGAUGGUUUUUAAGAGAUCGGACAGGGUUGUGGGCCUCUCCAUGUCCUCCCUUUUCUCCCAGAGCUAAGGCUUUGGAGCUGGUUCAGAUCCCAGCUCCACCAGCUCAGCCCUGCCUGGCUCUGGGCAGAGGAGCAUCCACCUGCAGCCUCCCUUUCCGUUGAUGGGAAAUGAAGAUUAAAACUCCCUCUCCCAGGCGACUCAGGAACAGAUGUCAGGUCUGCCCCCCGCCCCCUGCAGUGACGGAUGCCUCGCCAACACUGGAUGCCGAGGACCCCAACUCUCGGGACUCCGAGAUGCCCUCCUCCCUUCUCAAGCGCUGAAAGGGCAGAGACACAGGUCACCCAGCUCUGCACAGAGGGGCCCGUGGCAGGGGGCUGAGCACGGAGCAGACACUCAGGAAAUGCUUGAUCAGUGAACACUGAAGUGAGCGGACAGUGAACCUUCCUUAGAACCUGAGCCCUGGAGUGAACGCAUCUUUAGAAGCGCAGGUUACUAGGCUCGUUCUCCAAGGUGCGAAUCUAAGGUGUUGAAACCAUUCUCACUGUUGAGCGGUGGCACAAGCCUUCAAGGAAAUGGAUUAAAACACCUCAUUAAGCUGGGGCCGCCAUGGCACCAGGACACUCCAAAUGUUCAAUCCAAGGGACACCAGAUCAGGGGCUGUGUGUGACCUGGGACCCUGGCCCACCCUUCAAUCUAGGUCCCAUGAGAUCCAGGGCAAGAUGCUCAGCCAUCACGCCUCAGCCUCCUCCUCUUAAAAACGGGGAGGUUAGGUGCAGAGGGAAUGAAUGGCAGGCCCCAAAGCAGUGGCUUCUCCAACAAGGUCAAAAUCACCGAAACCUACUGAAUCACGUGGGGACGGGAGGCAGGGGCAGAAAUUACCAGCCUGGGU